CCUACGGGAGGCAGCAGUGGGGAAUAUUGCACAAUGGGGGAAACCCUGAUGCAGCGACGCCGCGUGAGUGAGGAAGGAUUGCGGGAUGUAAAGCUCUAGCAGCAGGGAAGAAAAGGACGGUACCUGACUAAGAAGCCCGGCUAACUACGUGCCAGCAGCCGCGGUAAUACGUAGGGGGCAAGCGUUAUCCGGAUUUACUGGGUGUAACGGGAGCGUAGACGGCUAAUCAAGUCAGAAGGGAAAACCCAGGGCUCAACCUUGGGACUGCUUUUGAAACUGAGUAGCUAGAGUGCAGGAGAGGUAAGCGGAAUUCCUCGUGUAGCGGUGAAAUGCGUAGAUAUUAGGAGGAACACCGGUGGCGAAGGCGGCUUACUGGACUGUACCUGCCGUUGAGGCUCGAAAGCGUGGGGAGCAAACAGGAUUAGAUACCCUGGUAGUC
RNAcentral lists this ribosomal RNA (439 nucleotides) under uncultured bacterium. RNAcentral describes it as "partial 16S ribosomal RNA". It matches the Rfam family "Bacterial small subunit ribosomal RNA", at positions 338 to 795 of the family's 1533-position model. The record is from RNAcentral.